This 23-nucleotide small nuclear RNA is filed under the name Arabidopsis thaliana (thale cress). RNAcentral describes it as "snRNA_10962". Lineage: Eukaryota; Viridiplantae; Streptophyta; Magnoliopsida; Brassicales; Brassicaceae. The record is from RNAcentral.
CUCUAUUGGUUCACCAACGAGGA